CCUGACUCGAUUCAAGCG
This 18-nucleotide ribosomal RNA is filed under the name Gyrodactylus chiapaneco. RNAcentral describes it as "partial 28S ribosomal RNA". Lineage: Eukaryota; Metazoa; Platyhelminthes; Monogenea; Gyrodactylidea; Gyrodactylidae. The record is from RNAcentral.